Molecule: ribosomal RNA, 253 nt
Filed under: uncultured bacterium
Lineage: Bacteria
Description: partial 16S ribosomal RNA
Rfam family: Bacterial small subunit ribosomal RNA
Source: RNAcentral
UACGGGGGGGGCAAGCGUUGUUCGGAAUUACUGGGCGUAAAGGGUUCGUAGGUGGCCGACUAAGUCAGACGUGAAAUCCCUCAGCUCAACUGGGGAACUGCGUGUGAUACUGGAUGGCUUGGAUUUGGGAGAGGGAUGCGGAAUUCCAGGUGUAGCGGUGAAAUGCGUAGAUAUCUGGAGGAACACCGGUGGCGAAGGCGGCAUCCUGGACCAAUAUUGACGCUGAGGAGCGAAAGCCAGGGGAGCAAACGGG